GACGAACGCUGGCGGCGUGCUUAACACAUGCAAGUCGAACGGAAAGGCCCUGCUUUUGUGGGGUGCUCGAGUGGCGAACGGGUGAGUAACACGUGAGUAACCUGCCCUUGACUUUGGGAUAACUUCAGGAAACUGGGGCUAAUACCGGAUAGGAGCUCCUGCUGCAUGGUGGGGGUUGGAAAGUUUCGGCGGUUGGGGAUGGACUCGCGGCUUAUCAGCUUGUUGGUGGGGUAGUGGCUUACCAAGGCUUUGACGGGUAGCCGGCCUGAGAGGGUGACCGGACACAUUAGGACUGAGAUACGGACCAGACUCCUACGGGAGGCAGAAGUGGGGAGUAUUGCACAGUGGGCGGAAGCCUGAUGCAGCAACGCCGCGUGCGGGAUGACGGCCUUCGGGUUGUAAACCGCUUUCGCCUGUGACAAAGCGUGAGUGACGGUACUGAGUAAAGAAGCACCGGCUAACUACGUG
This 468-nucleotide ribosomal RNA is filed under the name uncultured bacterium. Its description in RNAcentral is "partial 16S ribosomal RNA". It matches the Rfam family "Bacterial small subunit ribosomal RNA", at positions 28 to 507 of the family's 1533-position model. The record is from RNAcentral.